GGCCGUUGCCGAGCUCGUGGCGUGAAGGUGCGCCGUCUCACGUACCUUCCGGGCCGUGUGCAGCCCAGAACCGGUUUUCCCGGUUUCUAGAAAGAGCGAGUUCCUUCUCUGAGGUGUGCCUGAACUUCAGGAACCGCUGUCAAAUGAUUCCAGCUGUGCCCACGCACAACGUUCAUAGUCUUUCGUAAACAUGAGCGUGUUCGGGAUUUUUUUUUUUUUUUAAAUGGGUCAUGAGAUUCUCCCGUGUGAACUUUUGUAGAUGACAACACAGUGUGCCAAUUUCAAAAGGUUGGACAGACCCGGUAGGAUUAUCUCUCCAAUCCCUGUAGAAGUCAUAACCCAUAUGACUUUUGAAACAGAAGCCGUAGCCCAGUGUGGGGAAGGAAGCAAGCAAGAGGGAAUAGCUGCAGUCCAUGUCUGUCCCUCUUUUCUGCUGUCUGCUGCUCACAGGAAGUCUGUGCUAGAAGAGGAAAAACGUGCAACAUGAACAAUAGAAACCCUAAGGAAGACACCCAUAGAUGUAGAUCUACCUAAUGGAGUAUGUGGAGCCUACUAUCAAGUCUCCAAAGGAUAAUGACUCUCCUUCUCUCAACGGCCAUCACCAUCUGUAGGCUUCUAAAUCCAUGACUCUCUUCCUCAUCUCCCUGAGUGAGUGGUCUGGAAGAAGUGGCAACUAGCAAAAGCUCCUGCUGAUUCGCACCAUGUCUCCAGAGGAAAGCAGAAAGCACAUUCUUUAGCACAGUUUUCAUCAGCUGCUUGUACAGUCAUUCUCCAUUCCUCAAUGUGCAAUGCAAGGUGUUUCAAAGUGUACUGUGUACUCCAAGUUCUGACUGCUCUACCGAGCCUGCUCUGAACUGCCAACGGAUGAAGCAUCUUGCCUGGAAGACUGAGUCCUAGAUAAGUUUCUAUCACUGCUCUGAAGAUCAUAACCAAAAGCAACUUGGACAGCAUCUUAGGGUUUCUAUUGCUGUGAAGAGACACCAAGA
Peromyscus leucopus (white-footed mouse) is the source of this 986-nucleotide long non-coding RNA. RefSeq lists it as uncharacterized. The transcript is spliced from 5 exons. NCBI's taxonomy places the organism in Eukaryota, Metazoa, Chordata, Mammalia, Rodentia, Cricetidae. The record is from RefSeq and is a predicted model, not a curated record.